UAAUUUUAGGGCUAUAUUAUAGAAAACACAUUUAUAAAUAUUUUAUUUUUCACUUUUUCUUUCUAACUUUCAAAAGUUUAUAUUUUACUCUCUCAAUACUUCAGGUUGUUGCAUUUAGUCCCCAUAUGUCAGAUUUCAUCAUUAUUCCGUCUAUUUCUUAUAAUUUAUGCUGAAAAUAUCAUUCAAAAUAAAAAAAAUAUAUUAAAAAUUUUUUUUCUUAAAGAAGAAGUAAAGGUAAUUUAGUUAUUUUGCCAUCUCCAUUAACAUCGUAUCCCUCUAAAAAUAUUUCUAAAAUUUUAUUGGGGGCAAAAAUGUAGGUUAUUAAAAGUUAGGAAAGAAAAUUGAAAAAAAGGGGUAUAAACUGAAGGGUUUUUUGUAAUUUAGUCUAAUUUAGAAAUUAGUUAUAAUGUAAUAAAAUUUGGUAUUUUGGGUUUUGACUAUUGUUACAAUAUUUU
Molecule: long non-coding RNA, 455 nt
Filed under: Ananas comosus (pineapple)
Lineage: Eukaryota; Viridiplantae; Streptophyta; Magnoliopsida; Poales; Bromeliaceae
Description: long non-coding RNA (ACOM_LNC005471)
Source: RNAcentral